RNAcentral lists this ribosomal RNA (840 nucleotides) under Neofusicoccum pistaciicola. Its description in RNAcentral is "eukaryotic LSU rRNA". It matches the Rfam family "Eukaryotic large subunit ribosomal RNA", at positions 87 to 944 of the family's 3401-position model. The record is from RNAcentral. Lineage: Eukaryota; Fungi; Ascomycota; Dothideomycetes; Botryosphaeriales; Botryosphaeriaceae.
CGGCGAGUGAAGCGGCAAUAGCUCAAAUUUGAAAGCUGGCCCCUUUCGGGGUCCGCGUUGUAAUUUGUAGAGGAUGAUUCGGCGAGGGCUCCCGUCUAAGUCCCUUGGAACAGGGCGUCAUAGAGGGUGAGAAUCCCGUAUGUGAUGGGCUGCCUUAGCCAUGUGAAUCUCCUUCGACGAGUCGAGUUGUUUGGGAAUGCAGCUCUAAAUGGGAGGUAAAUUUCUUCUAAAGCUAAAUACCGGCCAGAGACCGAUAGCGCACAAGUAGAGUGAUCGAAAGAUGAAAAGCACUUUGGAAAGAGAGUUAAAAAGUACGUGAAAUUGUUGAAAGGGAAGCGCUUGCAGCCAGACUUGUCCGCAGUUGCUCAGCCUGUCUCCUGACAGGCGUACUCUUCUGCGGCCAGGCCAGCAUCAGUUCGGGCGGUCGGAUAAAGACCCGGGGAAUGUAGCUCCUCUCGGGGAGUGUUAUAGCCCUGGGUGCAAUGCGGCCAGCCUGGACUGAGGAUCUCGCUUCGGCUAGGAUGCUGGCGUAAUGGCUGUAAGCGGCCCGUCUUGAAACACGGACCAAGGAGUCUAACAUCUAUGCGAGUGUUUGGGUGUCAAACCCAUGCGCGUAAUGAAAGUGAACGGAGGUGGGAACCCUCACGGGUGCACCAUCGACCGAUCCUGAUGUCUUCGGAUGGAUUUGAGUAAGAGCAUAGCUGUUGGGACCCGAAAGAUGGUGAACUAUGCCUGAAUAGGGUGAAGCCAGAGGAAACUCUGGUGGAGGCUCGCAGCGGUUCUGACGUGCAAAUCGAUCGUCAAAUUUGGGUAUAGGGGCGAAAAACUAAUCGAACCAUC